Molecule: ribosomal RNA, 540 nt
Filed under: Salmonella enterica subsp. enterica serovar Enteritidis
Lineage: Bacteria; Pseudomonadati; Pseudomonadota; Gammaproteobacteria; Enterobacterales; Enterobacteriaceae
Description: partial 23S ribosomal RNA
Rfam family: Bacterial large subunit ribosomal RNA
Source: RNAcentral
CGGGCGUUAAGUUGCAGGGUAUAGACCCGAAACCCGGUGAUCUAGCCAUGGGCAGGUUGAAGGUUGGGUAACACUAACUGGAGGACCGAACCGACUAAUGUUGAAAAAUUAGCGGAUGACCUGUGGCUGGGGGUGAAAGGCCAAUCAAACCGGGAGAUAGCUGGUUCUCCCCGAAAGCUAUUUAGGUAGCGCCUCGUGAAUUCAUCUCCGGGGGUAGAGCACUGUUUCGGCUAGGGGGCCAUCCCGGCUUACCAACCCGAUGCAAACUGCGAAUACCGGAGAAUGUUAUCACGGGAGACACACGGCGGGUGCUAACGUCCGUCGUGAAGAGGGAAACAACCCAGACCGCCAGCUAAGGUCCCAAAGUCAUGGUUAAGUGGGAAACGAUGUGGGAAGGCCCAGACAGCCAGGAUGUUGGCUUAGAAGCAGCCAUCAUUUAAAGAAAGCGUAAUAGCUCACUGGUCGAGUCGGCCUGCGCGGAAGAUGUAACGGGGCUAAACCAUGCACCGAAGCUGCGGCAGCGACACUGUGUGUUGUUGG